CACCCCACUUGAAGAGAAUAAAUCUAAAUUACAGGAUGUAAUACCUCAGCCGCUGCUAGAUCAGUAUGUGUCCAUGACUGACCCAGCUCGAGCCCAGACUGUCGAUACUGACAUAGCCAAACACUGUGCCUACAGCCUCCCAGGGGUGGCACUGACCCUGGGCAGGCAAAAUUGGCACUGCCUGAAAGAUACAUAUGAAACACUGGCUUCUGAUGUACAGUGGAAGGUACGGCGAGCCCUAGCCUUCUCCAUUCACGAGCUGGCUGUGAUUCUUGGGGAUCAGUUAACAGCAGCUGACCUGGUGCCUAUCUUCAAUGGAUUUUUAAAGGAUCUGGAUGAAGUGCGAAUAGGAGUUCUUAGACACCUGUAUGAUUUUCUAAAGUUGCUUCAUGAAGACAAGAGGAGAGACUAUCUUUAUCAGCUUCAAGAAUUUGUAGUGACUGAUAACAGCAGGAAUUGGAGGUUUCGAUAUGAACUAGCAGAACAGCUGAUACUGAUUCUGGAACUCUAUAGUCCCAAUGAUGUUUAUGAUUACCUAAUGCACAUUGCCUUAAAGUUGUGUGCAGAUCAAGUUUCUGAAGUUCGGUGGAUCUCCUUCAAACUAGUCGUGGCAAUUCUGCAGAAGUUCUAUUCCAACAGUGAAAGUGCAUUGGGGUUAAAUUUCAUCAAUGAGCUCAUCAUAAGGUUCCGGCACUGUUCUAAAUUCUGAAAUGACUUCUUUGGGAUUAAAGAAGUGUAUGUUUCUAGAAGACUGCGGAAAACAUCAUUUCUUUGGCUGUGACUUUCUUGGAGCAGGCAGUGGUGAGCAAGGAGUGUGUCCCCGUGGACCAGUUCAUGGAGCACCUGCU
RNAcentral lists this long non-coding RNA (848 nucleotides) under Homo sapiens (human). RNAcentral describes it as "novel transcript". The record is from RNAcentral. Lineage: Eukaryota; Metazoa; Chordata; Mammalia; Primates; Hominidae.